GUUGAUGAUGGUAGUGAUAGCAGUUUAGUGAUGGUGGUGGUAGUAGUAAUGAUGAUGAUGGUAGUGAUAGCAGUUUAGUGAUGGUGGUGGUAGUAGUAAUGAUGAUGGUAGUGAUAGCAGUUUAGUGAUGGUGGUAGUAGUAAUGAUGAUGGUAGUGAUAGCAGUUUAGUGAUGGUGGUGGUAGUAGUAAUAAUGAUGAUGGUAGUGAUAGCAGUUUAGUGAUGGUGGUGGUAGUAGUAAUAAUGAUGAUGGUAGUGAUAGCAGUUUAGUGAUGGUGGUGGUUGUAGUAAUGAUGAUGAUGGUAGUGAUAGCAGUUUAGUGAUGGUGGUGGUAGUAGUAAUGAUGAUGAUGGUAGUGAUAGCAGUUUAGUGAUGGUGGUAGUAGUAAUGAUGAUGGUAGUGAUAACAGUUUAGUGAUGGUGGUGGUAGUAGUAAUAAUGAUGAUGGUAGUGAUAGCAGUUUAGUGAUGGUGGUGGUUGUAGUAAUGAUGAUGAUGGUAGUGAUAGCAGUUUAGUGAUGGUGGUAGUAGUAAUGAUGAUGGUAGUGAUAACAGUUUAGUGAUGGUGGUGGUGGUGGUAGUAGUAGUAAUGAUGAUGGUAGUGAUAGCAGUUUAGUGAUGGUGGUGGUAGUAGUAAUAAUGAUGAUGGUAGUGAUAGCAGUUUAGUGAUGGUGGUGGUAGUAGUAAUGAUGAUGGUAGUGAUAGCAGUUUAGUGAUGGUGGUGGUAGUAGUAAUAAUGAUGAUGGUAGUGAUAGCAGUUUAGUGAUGGUGGUGGUAGUAGUAGUAAUGAUGAUGGUAGUGAUAGCAGUUUAGUGAUGGUGGUGGUUGUAGUAAUGAUGAUGAUGGUAGUGAUAGCAGUUUAGUGAUGGUGGUGGUAGUAGUAAUGAUGAUGAUGGUAGUGAUAGCAGUUUAGUGAUGGUGGUGGUAGUAGUAAUAAUGAUGAUGGUAGUGAUAGCAGUUUAGUGAUGGUGGUGGUAGUAGUAAUAAUGAUGAUGGUAGUGAUAGCAGUUUAGUGAUGGUGGUGGUAGUAGUAAUGAUGAUGAUGGUAGUGAUAGCAGUUUAGUGAUGGUGGUGGUUGUAGUAAUGAUGAUGAUGGUAGUGAUAGCAGUUUAGUGAUGGUGGUGGUAGUAGUAAUAAUGAUGAUGGUAGUGAUAGCAGUUUAGUGAUGGUGGUGGUUGUAGUAAUGAUGAUGAUGGUAGUGAUAGCAGUUUAGUGAUGGUGGUGGUAGUAGUAAUGCUGAUGAUGGUAGUGAUAGCAGUUUAGUGAUGGUGGUGGUAGUAAUGAUGAUG
Long non-coding RNA from Oncorhynchus tshawytscha (Chinook salmon), 1286 nucleotides. The record is from Ensembl. Lineage: Eukaryota; Metazoa; Chordata; Actinopteri; Salmoniformes; Salmonidae.